UGAUGUCUAAAUUGUCCAUAGCAUCAACAUAUCAAAUGAAAAUCAUACAUGAUUGAGAUUUGAAAAAUAAAUAACUAACAAAUAAGUGAGUCACUUCUAGAAGUCCAUCAUACUUUAACAACAUAAAAAAUCAGUUUCGAUAUUAUUCAUAUAUAAUAUUUUGACUCCAAACAACCAAACUGGAAAGUGCCACUACCUAGGAUCCUAAUUGACAACACAAUUUAGAAGGUGAUUCAUAUAACUAAUCAACUCCAAGAUUUAAUAUAACUCAGCUAGAAGAACUAGAGUCAAUAUAAUAAUUCCUCAAUUGCAACUAGACCAUCUUGUGUACAUCCUGUAAUAGCAUGUCAAGUAUUGACUGUGAGUGAAAGAGAUUAUCAUAAAUAAAUACACUAAGGGCAUGUUUGGAUAAAUAACUUAUCAUGAUAAGAACUUACGUAUAAGUUCACAUAAUUUAUCUAUAGCAAAAGAUAAAAUUAAAUUAAAUUAUUCUCGUAUAUGCUGUAAGUUGUUUUUAUAAGCUAUAUUAGAGAACUUAUGAAAAAAGGUUUUGAAAACUGUCAUAAAUUACUUUCAUAAGUUCUCUUGAACAACCUCACAUAACAUAAGUCAGUAGAUAAGCUCAAAUAAGCCAGUCCAAACAAGUCAUAAAUCCUUUUUGAUAAUCUUUUUGUUUUAAACCCUUGCCUUAGAACAAAUUAUCACAAAGAUGAGACCACAUUUUAUUAAUGAAUCAAUUUAAUAUCAAAUUUAACUACUGAUUCAUAAAGUUAGUUAAAAGCAAGAAUCAAAUACUAAUUCAUAAUCAAUUAAAUUAAUCAAAAUCAGAAGUGAAAAAGUUAGAGAUAACAUACUCAAAGCUUGUCCGCUGAAAAUCUUCUAGAAUCAUCUCUACACAUCAUUUUCUUAACAAAUCCUUAGCAGAAGAAUAAACAGAACAGAGUAUUCGAGAAGGAAACCUGAGAUACGCCGUAAUAACCACUUCAAAAACCUCAUACGUAGAAUCACCGUAAAAAGGAGGAAUCCUGCUCAACAUUAUGUACCAAACAGAACACAACUCCACAAAUCAACUUUCUCGGUAUAAUAUCUUCCUAACAGAACCUCUGGCGCCACGUAACACGGCGUUCCGACAACUCGUCAUUUUCUCGCCAUCGUCGAACCACCAAAAUCAACUAAUUUGAGAUUAUCCUCAGAAUCGAUUUCAGAGAUUCGACAUGCGUUUGCGAUACCAGAUCUGCCAUACCAAAGUUCCUAGAUGGGAAUUUCAUAUUUGAGAUUCCGAGAUCGAAGAUGCGUAUGUGAUUUUAGAUUUGCGAGACCAGCCGAGUUACAAAUUUCAGAUUUUCGAUUCAUGAGCUUGGGGUAAAUUUGGGUUUAUGAGCUGGCUGAUGAACAAGUUUGAGGGAAAGGGUUAAAGGUGAGAAUUUGGGGGAAAGGGUUAAAGGUGAGAAUUUGGGGGAAGCGUUGUUGAUGAACAAGUUAUAUAUAUGUUUCUUAUAUUUUAAUUUAAAUAAUAUAAAUUAGAUUUUAAAUGGGGUUAAACCAUUUAGUAUGUAAUGAAGUUAAAAUCCUCUCCUCUACCCAUGUUUUUAAGUCUGGUGGAUAACUGCCCACUUAAAAUCCCUGACUUAAUAAGUGUUUUUUGUACUAGUGGCACCUUUCAGAAUUGGUGAUUUCACAUCAAUCACAUAUCCAUUUUGGUGUUUAAAUGCUUAACCAAACUAUU
Molecule: long non-coding RNA, 1726 nt
Filed under: Medicago truncatula (barrel medic)
Lineage: Eukaryota; Viridiplantae; Streptophyta; Magnoliopsida; Fabales; Fabaceae
Description: long non-coding RNA (MTRU_LNC001205)
Source: RNAcentral